AGAAAAUAAAAUCAUAAUAAAGUAAAUAUCAAAUUACAUUUUAUGUUAGUAUUAUAUGUAGUAGGGACCUAUAGUGGCAUAAACAACGCCCGGACCGAGAAAGCAUGUACUAGAAAGACGCCACCAUAGGAAAAUCCAGUAGUGAUGAUGAUCCGGAAACACACAGACGUCUACACACAAUGGUAAACAAACAACAGGUAAACAGGUAAAUUUUAAGUAAGAAUUUUUACGCGUAAUUUAGGCGACGGGUACACAGGAUUCGCGUGUAAAACAUUUAUUUAUACAUAGAUUAUCUUGAAAUACUCAGUAUCGUUAAAGAACACAUAUAGCUAGAUCGAUAGAUCAUUUUUAGUAAAAUAAUAACAAUAAAAUAAGCAAAAUCACAGAGAAACGGUCGAAUUUUGAUAAAAUUAACCGCAAAAUUUCAUACAGCGCGAUCGUAAAUAUCAUUUUUAUACAAUAUGUAAAGUAAUUAAUACCGAUAUAAACAUAAAAUAUAGACUUUGGGCAAUAAAGUGCAAAAAACAGAUCUGAAAAACAUUAAAAAAUGACAAAAUGACAGCAUUUUUAAAACACAGUGUAAAACGGUAUCGGUAAAUUACAUUCAAAGACUCUAGAAUAUAGAUUAAACAUAUUUGUCGAUAUGACACAUUUAUGCAGUAGGCGUGGCGUGUAAUCUAUAAAUAACCUGUGUACUGUCAACAAUCGGACGUAUAUUAUAAAUGUUAUCACUGUAUGCUGUCACGUGACCUGGUGUACGGCGAGAAAAAUGCAAGAUGGUGGACGUGGAUAUUGGGGAAAGACGAAAUGCUUACAAGUAUGAACGACCCAAAGUUCAGGAAAUAUAUUAAGAAACUGACCAGCGACAAAUAUGGUGUGGAUUUAAACAGGAAAAAACAAGACAAAGCACCCGAGGAAGCUUCAUUUAGAAAACUAAACGUUGAAUAACAGUAUAGAUUCCAUUCUUUUUUCAGAAAUAAAGAAUUCUGAAUUGUGA
Mercenaria mercenaria is the source of this 997-nucleotide long non-coding RNA. RefSeq lists it as uncharacterized. The record is from RefSeq and is a predicted model, not a curated record. The transcript is spliced from 2 exons. NCBI's taxonomy places the organism in Eukaryota, Metazoa, Mollusca, Bivalvia, Venerida, Veneridae.